Molecule: ribosomal RNA, 492 nt
Filed under: uncultured bacterium
Lineage: Bacteria
Description: partial 16S ribosomal RNA
Rfam family: Bacterial small subunit ribosomal RNA
Source: RNAcentral
AGUGAACGCUGGCGGUAGGCCUAACACAUGCAAGUCGAACGGCAGCACAGUAAGAGCUUGCUCUUACGGGUGGCGAGUGGCGGACGGGUGAGGAAUACAUCGGAAUCUACUUUUUCGUGGGGGAUAACGUAGGGAAACUUACGCUAAUACCGCAUACGACCUACGGGUGAAAGCAGUGGAUCUUCGGACCUUGCGCGAUUGAAUGAGCCGAUGUCGGAUUAGCUAGUUGGCGGGGUAAAGGCCCACCAAGGCGACGAUCCGUAGCUGGUCUGAGAGGAUGAUCAGCCACACUGGAACUGAGACACGGUCCAGACUCCUACGGGAGGCAGCAGUAGGGAAUAUUGGACAAUGGGCGCAAGCCUGAUCCAGCAAUACCGCGUGGGUGAAGAAGGCCUUCGGGUUGUAAAGCCCUUUUGUUGGGAAAGAAAAGCAGCAGGUUAAUACCCGGCUGUUCUGACGGUACCCAAAGAAUAAGCACCGGCUAACUUCGUG